RNAcentral lists this ribosomal RNA (257 nucleotides) under uncultured bacterium. RNAcentral's name for it is "partial 16S ribosomal RNA". It matches the Rfam family "Bacterial small subunit ribosomal RNA", at positions 112 to 354 of the family's 1533-position model. The record is from RNAcentral.
CGUACGUGGAGAACCUGCCGUAUACUGGGGGAUAACACUUAGAAAUAGGUGCUAAUACCGCAUAAGCGCACAGCUUCGCAUGAAGCAGUGUGGAAAACAAAAAAGCUAAAGCUUUUGGUGGUAUACGAUGGAUCCGCGUCUGAUUAGCUUGUUGGCGGGGUAAAGGCCCACCAAGGCGACGAUCAGUAGCCGGCCUGAGAGGGUGAACGGCCACAUUGGGACUGAGACACGGCCCAAACUCCUACGGAAGGCAGCAG